GUCCUUCAGUAGCACAUAUAUUGAAAUUGUAAUAACACAAUGAAGAUAAGCAUGAUCCCUGAACAAGAGUGACACGAAAAUUUCUGAAGUGUUCCAUAUUUUU
This is a small nuclear RNA of Vombatus ursinus (common wombat), 103 nucleotides long. NCBI's taxonomy places the organism in Eukaryota, Metazoa, Chordata, Mammalia, Diprotodontia, Vombatidae. The record is from Ensembl.